CCUACGGGAGGCAGCAGUAGGGAAUCUUGCACAAUGGGCGGAAGCCUGAUGCAGCGACGCCGCGUGAGGGAUGAAGGCCUUCGGGUUGUAAACCUCUUUCAGCCUUGACGAAGCGCCCUUUUGUGGGUGUGACGGUAGGGGCAGAAGAAGCGCCGGCCAACUACGUGCCAGCAGCCGCGGUAAU
RNAcentral lists this ribosomal RNA (184 nucleotides) under uncultured actinomycete. RNAcentral describes it as "partial 16S ribosomal RNA". It matches the Rfam family "Bacterial small subunit ribosomal RNA", at positions 338 to 524 of the family's 1533-position model. The record is from RNAcentral. Lineage: Bacteria; Bacillati; Actinomycetota; Actinomycetes; Actinomycetales.